UACGUAGGGUGCGAGCGUUGUCCGGAAUUAUUGGGCGUAAAGAGCUUGUAGGCGGUUUGUCGCGUCUGCUGUGAAAUCUCAAGGCUCAACCUUGAGCUUGCAGUGGGUACGGGCAGACUAGAGUGUGGUAGGGGAGACUGGAAUUCCUGGUGUAGCGGUGAAAUGCGCAGAUAUCAGGAGGAACACCAACGGCGAAGGCAGCUCGCUGGGACGGUACUGACGCUAAGGCGCGAAAGCGUGGGGAGCGAACAGG
This 253-nucleotide ribosomal RNA is filed under the name uncultured bacterium. RNAcentral describes it as "partial 16S ribosomal RNA". It matches the Rfam family "Bacterial small subunit ribosomal RNA", at positions 524 to 776 of the family's 1533-position model. The record is from RNAcentral.